This 73-nucleotide transfer RNA is filed under the name Actinomycetota bacterium. Its description in RNAcentral is "tRNA-Gln". It matches the Rfam family "tRNA". From Rfam's summary of the family: Transfer RNA (tRNA) molecules are approximately 80 nucleotides in length. Their secondary structure includes four short double-helical elements and three loops (D, anti-codon, and T loops). Lineage: Bacteria; Bacillati; Actinomycetota. The record is from RNAcentral.
UGCCGGGUAGAUCAAUUGGCAGAUCGUCUGACUCUGGAUCAGAAAGUUCAAGGUUCGAAUCCUUGCCCGGCAG